Molecule: non-coding RNA, 87 nt
Organism: Mycena amicta
Lineage: Eukaryota; Fungi; Basidiomycota; Agaricomycetes; Agaricales; Mycenaceae
Source: the annotation of a GenBank genome assembly
GUCUAUAUCGAUUAGUGGUUAAAUCACCUCGUUGUGGUCAUCUAGCAACUGCCCGAGGAGCCGCCUGUUCGAUCCAGGCUAUGGACA